GCCACUUUAGCUCAGCUGGAUAGAGCAGGGUUUUUGUAAAGCUCAGGUCACCCGUUCAAGUCGGGUAAGUGGCU
RNAcentral lists this transfer RNA (74 nucleotides) under Synechococcus phage S-WAM2. It matches the Rfam family "tRNA". From Rfam's summary of the family: Transfer RNA (tRNA) molecules are approximately 80 nucleotides in length. The record is from Rfam by way of RNAcentral. Lineage: Duplodnaviria; Heunggongvirae; Uroviricota; Caudoviricetes; Pantevenvirales; Kyanoviridae.